This is a long non-coding RNA of Diachasmimorpha longicaudata, 2889 nucleotides long. RefSeq lists it as uncharacterized. The record is from RefSeq and is a predicted model, not a curated record. The transcript has 2 exons. NCBI's taxonomy places the organism in Eukaryota, Metazoa, Arthropoda, Insecta, Hymenoptera, Braconidae.
GUGAUGGCGCCACUGUCCAGUCAAAAUCUCGUCCCACACACUUUUCUAUAUAUUUUUUUCCAUUUUUAUUCGUAAAAAAUAGCAACUGCCGCGCCCGGUCUCGCAUUCUUUCUCCUCACUCUGAAGUAUUACAGAAUAAUAUUCAGGGGAAAGAGAAUCUUUCAGGAGUAGACAAGAAAAGAGAGGGGUUUGAGGAAGAGGGAUGUAAUUGUUUCUCGAGCCCUAGGUAAUAAGGUCUUUAAAUUCAGUGUUGAGCAGGACAAUAUUUUAUAAAUACCGAGUAUUGAAAUACUCUUCGACUUUUCCACAUCCUAAAGAUGAAUUAUCUGAAUAUAUUGCAUUUAUUAUAUAUCAACAACGAUGCCCAAUAUUUUGUUAUUUAAUAGUUGAUACAAGUCUAAAUAUCAGGUAAAGAAUAUUUAUUACUUCAUAGAGAAGUCAAUACCAAAUAUUUUAAUAUUUAGUACUUAGUUGUGCACUAAAUCCUGAAUUUUCUCCUUAAUUUUUGUUAAAUCAACAUCUCCAUAGGUUUUUAAGUAAAAAUUGUCUGGGGUAGAAGCUACAUCAUUGAAUACAGCCAAGAAAAAUUCAAUCGAUUGACCGUUUGGUCUUCGAGCAAUAAUUAGAGAAAGUUCAUAAUUUUACUUAAUUAAAACCAGUUAAUAAGUUAAUCGAGUGAGACAAAUUACAGAUGUGCGAUAUUGGGCCCAGCAAUCUCCGGAAACUGAUGCAUCUUCUGUCGGCGAACCCGGUGAGCCGACGAUGUGAGUAAGGCCGUUGUCUCACAGCGGAUGGGUUCCAGGUUCGAUUCCUGGUCGAGUAGAAUGGUGAGGUCUAACCAUUAAAACACCUGAUCAAUUCCCAGAUAGUUAUCAUAAACUAAUGUAAAAUAGUUAUCGCAAACUAAUGUAAAAUAAGUUUUAAAAAAUCUCGGCUUGCUCGGUAUCUCCAAUCACGGGUCACAUCCAUCGUCAUAGCGAGGCAUUGAAAGUGUCCCAUUGUCAUCUGUGAUGCCCUUAUGGAAUGGACGGGUCACCAAUGCUGCGUUACGUCCUGGGAGUCAGUCGUCGUGAACGAGAGGUGUAAAAUUUAAUGAAAUUUCUCAGCUGUGACAAUCGGGCUCUUCGCUACAAUGAACCCUGUUAUCGUCUUCUUCGAUUUAAAUAAAAAGAUGAUCUACGAGAUUGAGUUGUCGGAUUCAGUCGAGGGUAAUAUAUUCAUGAAGAAGAGGAGAAGCGGCUUAAAUACCCACAUCUUUUGUUUGAGUUACGUCAGCUGAACUGUGAGCUCUUGGUCAAGCUAGUUAUCCUGAUCAGCGGUGCUUUCGGUGGCAUGAGAGGAUCCCGUUGAGGCCCUACAUCACCGGUGGAUAAUUUUGGUAAAAUCAGGAGAGAGAGGCAUGACAUUAUGACCCACUACCGCUUGAUUAACUAUAUAAUUCGACUCGUCAUCAACAAUUGACAAAGUUCGGCUGAAAAUUUGUGAUGCAUCCACUCUCUUAGACCAUAAAAAUUCCAGUUCUUUGGGAGUCUGUCGACAAUCGUUUCAACUUUUCAUUGUAUACUGACUCCCUCCCGAGAAAAAUUCAACAACCCCAAAAUCCAUCGAUUGCACCCCUUUCAUCCAGAAGAAAAACAACUGACUGACUCCCCGACAAAAUAUGCAUUUAUUUAUUGUCAGAAUCUAUCGAUGAUUUUACAGAAAUACUUUCCCUUUUAAAAUUCCAUUCCAGGGAUUUUUCAGAAUUGCGUAACUGAACUACAAAGAAGCCUGAUGAGUAAUAUAAUACAUGUAACAAUGACAAUCAAUAACUCUUUAACAUAAUUAACGUCUCCAACUUAUUUAUUUACGAAGACUAUUGACUGUUUUCAUUCUCAAGUACUUCUCGACUUAUGUCCUCUGCUGCAUGCGUUGUCACGUGGAGAACGUAUUAGUCCAAUUAACUAAACCGGAGACACAGGGGCCUAUUGAUUUUACCUCCUUCGUGUAAGAGUUCAAAGUAGACAUUUAUGCUCCAUCAAGUCGGGUUACCCUUCAAUUUCAGGUGGUACUAUAGCGAAAAUUAAUUAUUAAUUAGGUUGAGAAAAAAUACAGAUCUUGUUAUUUAAUUACUUGAAUGACAAUUGCUUUCUUAUUUGCUAAUUUAAUACUUAAAUCAUAGGAACGUUUUGAAAGAUUGAAUGUUUAAAGGAGUAAAUAACAAACUUUGUUUGCGGAUCAGACGAAGACCCUGGGAAUUAUGGAAUUAUAUAAUUACGUUCUGUGGAGGGCGUCUUUGAGCUCGUCGUCAUAGCGGGUUGACCUGACCUUAUGAGCAAAGCGUCCCAGGAACCCAGGAACGAGUUCCAGUGAUCAAGGAUUUUUUUCAUUGGAGGAAGACAAACCCAGUGCAUGUCGAAAAGAAGGUUUUCAUCGCAUACGGAUUGAAUAAUUUUUAUAAGAGGAUUGACUGUCUCUGUACAGUAUGGAGAACAAAUUAGCUAAUUCUUCAACUUAUUAUCAAAUAUUGGAUUACAAGAUUAUAAACAUGUCUGAUAUACUCUAUUGUAUUAAAUGCCAAAAAAGUAAUUUUUUGAUAAUUAUAUCGGCCUACACAUCCCCCAUUGUCAUCGUGAGAUAAAACCAGAGUUGAAGGGAGUUUUCACACUUUUAAGAGAACCCCAAUGACUUAAAAUCCCAAUUAAUAACUCAAUCUCUCUUUUGUUAAAAUUAAUACAUUUAAAAGUACUUAGAAUCGUACACAAAUUCAUUGUAAAUACAGAACAAAAUAUAUUGUAUUUCAACAACCCUUGAACCCUUGCCCUUGAAGUAAAGUAAAUCACAGUGCAAAUAAAUCAUGUGCAUUUCAGCACUUUAAACAAUAAAAAAACCGCUGUUCUUGUGCCCAGA